RNAcentral lists this ribosomal RNA (253 nucleotides) under uncultured bacterium. Its description in RNAcentral is "partial 16S ribosomal RNA". It matches the Rfam family "Bacterial small subunit ribosomal RNA", at positions 524 to 776 of the family's 1533-position model. The record is from RNAcentral.
UACGUAGGGUGCGAGCGUUGUCCGGAAUUAUUGGGCGUAAAGAGCUUGUAGGCGGUUUGUCGCGUCUGCCGUGAAAUUUCGAGGCUCAACCUCGAACUUGCGGUGGGUACGGGCAGACUAGAGUGUGGUAGGGGAGACUGGAAUUCCUGGUGUAGCGGUGAAAUGCGCAGAUAUCAGGAGGAACACCGGUGGCGAAGGCGGGUCUCUGGGCCGAUACUGACGCUGAGGAGCGAAAGCAUGGGUAGCGAACAGG